Molecule: ribosomal RNA, 692 nt
Filed under: uncultured bacterium
Lineage: Bacteria
Description: bacterial SSU rRNA
Rfam family: Bacterial small subunit ribosomal RNA
Source: RNAcentral
AGAGUUUGAUCCUGGCUCAGAUUGAACGCUGGCGGCAUGCUUUACACAUGCAAGUCGAACGGCAGCAUAGGUGCUUGCACCUGAUGGCGAGUGGCGGACGGGUGAGUAAUGCAUCGGGACGUGUCCGGAAGAGGGGGAUAACUGUUCGAAAGAACAGCUAAUACCGCAUAAUAUCCGAGGAAGAAAGCUGGGGACCUUAGGGCCUGGCGCUUACGGGGCGACCGAUGUCUGAUUAGCUAGUUGGUGGGGUAAAAGCCUACCAAGGCGACGAUCAGUAGCUGGUCUGAGAGGACGACCAGCCACACUGGGACUGAGAAACGGCCCAGACUCCUACGGGAGGCAGCAGUGGGGAAUUUUGGACAAUGGGGGCAACCCUGAUCCAGCAAUGCCGCGUGUCUGAAGAAGGCCUUCGGGUUGUAAGGACUUUUGUUGGGGAGCAAGGUGCACAGGUUAAGAGCUAGUGUACUUGAGAGUACCCAAAGAAUAAGGACCGGCUAACUACGUGCCAGCAGCCGCGGUAAUACGUAGGGUCCAAGCGUUAAUCGGAAUUACUGGGCGUAAAGAGUGCGCAGGCGGCUUUGUAAGCUUGAUGUGAAAUCCCCGGGCUCAACCUGGGAACUGCAUUGAGGACUGCAAGGCUAGAGUGUAGCAGAGGGGGGUAGAAUUCCACGUGUAGCGGUGAAAUGCGUAGA